RNAcentral lists this ribosomal RNA (253 nucleotides) under uncultured bacterium. RNAcentral describes it as "partial 16S ribosomal RNA". It matches the Rfam family "Bacterial small subunit ribosomal RNA", at positions 524 to 776 of the family's 1533-position model. The record is from RNAcentral.
UACAGAGGGUGCGAGCGUUGUUCGGAAUUAUUGGGCGUAAAGGGCGCGUAGGCGGCGCCACAAGUCACUUGUGAAAACUCUGGGCUCAACUCAGAGCCUGCAAGCGAAACUGUGGUGCUGGAGUAUGGGAGAGGUGCGUGGAAUUCCCGGUGUAGCGGCGAAAUGCGUAGAUAUCGGGAGGAACACCUGUGGCGAAAGCGGCGCACUGGACCACAACUGACGCUGAGGCGCGAAAGCUAGGGGAGCAAACAGG